UCCUACGGGACGCAGCAGUAGGGAAUAUUGCAUAAUGGGCGAAAGCCUGAUGCAGCAACGCCGCGUGUGCGAUGAAGGCCUUCGGGUUGUAAAGCACUUUUGAACGGGAAGAGGAAGGACGGUACCGUUCGAAUAAGCCUCGGCUAACUACGUGCCAGCAGCCGCGGUAAAACGUAGGAGGCGAGCGUUAUCCGGAUUUACUGGGUGUAAAGCGCGUGCAGGCGGUCGGCGAAGUUGGGUGUGAAAGCUCCUGGCUCAACUAGGAGAGGUCGCUCAAAACUGGCCGACUGGAGAGCAGUAAGGGAAGGUGGAAUUCCGGGUGUAGUGGUGAAAUGCGUAGAUAUCCGGAGGAACACCAGUGGCGAAGGCGGCCUUCUGGACUGCAUCUGACGCUCAGACGCGAAAGCUAGGGGAGCAAACGGGAUUAGAUACCCCGGUAGA
RNAcentral lists this ribosomal RNA (441 nucleotides) under uncultured bacterium. RNAcentral's name for it is "bacterial SSU rRNA". It matches the Rfam family "Bacterial small subunit ribosomal RNA", at positions 337 to 794 of the family's 1533-position model. The record is from RNAcentral.